This 401-nucleotide ribosomal RNA is filed under the name uncultured bacterium. RNAcentral describes it as "bacterial SSU rRNA". It matches the Rfam family "Bacterial small subunit ribosomal RNA", at positions 355 to 773 of the family's 1533-position model. The record is from RNAcentral.
UGGGGAAUAUUGGACAAUGGGCGAAAGCCUGAUCCAGCCAUGCCGCGUGAGUGAUGAAGGCCCUAGGGUUGUAAAGCUCUUUCAACGGUGAAGAUAAUGACGGUAACCGUAGAAGAAGCCCCGGCUAACUUCGUGCCAGCAGCCGCGGUAAUACGAAGGGGGCUAGCGUUGUUCGGAAUUACUGGGCGUAAAGCGCACGUAGGCGGACAUUUAAGUCAGGGGUGAAAUCCCGGGGCUCAACCCCGGAACUGCCUUUGAUACUGGGUGUCUCGAGUCCGGAAGAGGUGAGUGGAAUUCCGAGUGUAGAGGUGAAAUUCGUAGAUAUUCGGAGGAACACCAGUGGCGAAGGCGGCUCACUGGUCCGGUACUGACGCUGAGGUGCGAAAGCGUGGGGAGCAAAC